AGGAUCAACGCUGGCGGCGUGCCUAAUGCAUGCAAGUCGAACGGGGUCCCUUCGGGGGCUUACGUGGCGGACGGGUGAGGAACACGUGGGCAAUCUGUCCUGAGGUGGGGGGUAGCCUUCGGAAACGGAGGGUAAUUCCGCAUGUGUGUAUUGACUGGUGGGGUUGAUACGAGAAAGGCUCUUCGGAGUCGCCUGAGGGGGAGCCUGCGGCCGAUUAGCUAGGUUGGUGGGGUAGAGGUCUUACCAAGGCGAUGAUCGGUA
Molecule: ribosomal RNA, 261 nt
Filed under: uncultured soil bacterium
Lineage: Bacteria
Description: partial 16S ribosomal RNA
Rfam family: Bacterial small subunit ribosomal RNA
Source: RNAcentral